This 253-nucleotide ribosomal RNA is filed under the name uncultured bacterium. RNAcentral's name for it is "partial 16S ribosomal RNA". It matches the Rfam family "Bacterial small subunit ribosomal RNA", at positions 524 to 776 of the family's 1533-position model. The record is from RNAcentral.
UACGAAGGGGGCUAGCGUUGCUCGGAAUCACUGGGCGUAAAGGGCGCGUAGGCGGUCAUAUAAGUCAGGGGUGAAAGCCUGUGGCUCAACCACAGAAUUGCCUUUGAUACUGUAUGACUAGAGACCGGAAGAGGUAAGUGGAAUUGCGAGUGUAGAGGUGAAAUUCGUAGAUAUUCGCAAGAACACCAGUGGCGAAGGCGGCUUACUGGUCCGGUUCUGACGCUGAGGCGCGAAAGCGUGGGGAGCAAACAGG